CGCAUUAAACCCCUCCCACACACAACCCCCAAAGCCCUCCCCUUCCAACAGACUCUACAAUACUACAGUACUGCCCCCCACUCUCCAUUAAACCCCCCAACAGCAGCAGCACCACCACCGCCAUGAUUCCUCCUCCGUAAAAAUGGUUCCCGCCGCGUCCCCAUCCCCUUCCCCUGCACCCUCCCCCACCCCAACAUUCUCCACCCCCUCACAAACCCCAACGACACUCUCCUCCAUGCAUCAUCCUCAUCAUAUCCGCCGUCCAAGCUCCCCAUCGACUUCUCCCCGCCGCUCAUCGCCAUGGUCGUCGUCGUCGCCACCGCUUUCUUAAUCGUCACCUACUCCCGUCUCAUCUCCCGCCACGUCAUCCCCCCGAUCAUCCGAUUCUCCCGCCACUGUCGCCGCCGUCGCCGCCGCUCCUACCUCCCCUCCUCCAUCGGCGACCUCGACUCCCCGCCCUACGACUCGUCGUUCGACCCCACGGACGGCUUCCAUGUCUUCUCCCCAUACGGCCUCGACGAGUCGGUGAUCAAGACCAUACCGCUGUCGCUAUACACCGCCAAGACCGGCCUCCGGAGCAAGGACUGCGCCGUCUGCUUGAUCGAGUUCGAAGACGACGAGUACGUCCGGACGCUUCCGGUUUGUUCCCACGCCUUUCACGUCGACUGCAUCGACAUGUGGCUCAGGUCCCACGCCAACUGUCCGCUCUGCCGCGCCGGAAUAUUCCGUCCCGAGUCUCCCUUCAUUCCCUUAAUGGCCGCCAGAAUCCGGCCGAGCCUCGACGACGCGCUCCUUCGCAGCAUGGCUCUCGAGCCUCUCGCGGAAACUCCGCCGCGAGAGACGGAGUCCACGGCGGAGAUAACUCCCUGCGCGGAGGAGCAGUCGCCGCGGAGGACGUUCAAUUACUGGGAGGACCGAAUCAACGGCGGAGAUUUCGUCCUCAAGCGGUCGUACUCGUUCGGAUUCGAGCGGAGCUCCGCUUCGGAGCGGAUGAUGGUGACGGAGCCGACGACGGCGUCGCCGUGGCGUUACCGGAGAGGCGGAAGCUUCUGGAGCAAGAGGCCGUCGCCGUUCGGAUCGCUGACGAAGCCCCGGGUCUUCUCGUUCCGGUCCCACCGAGGCAUGAACAUGAAGUCGCCUUUCUUCCGGCGAAAAGGCUUCUUCCCGCUGUCGGAGUCAAGCGCGAGAUUCUCCACCGGCGGCGGCUCUUCCCGGCGGACGAAGUCGAUGACGAGCCCAAUGUUCAUGAGGUCGUCGGCGUUGACCGCGGCGGCGUUCUCGUCAAGCCGGCUCCGGUGCGGCGACCCCGAGGCGCUGUUGUCGCCGGAGAGGUUUAACAGAAGAUAGGAGGUAAAGAACGUGCGUUACAUCAGAGAGCGCAAUUAAAAUUUCGGAAGGGACACGUGGAGGGAGGAGAUGGAGGGAAGGCGGAGUAAAACGGACG
Molecule: long non-coding RNA, 1444 nt
Filed under: Rosa chinensis
Lineage: Eukaryota; Viridiplantae; Streptophyta; Magnoliopsida; Rosales; Rosaceae
Description: sRNA RchiOBHm_Chr6g0262001
Source: RNAcentral